UACGAGGUCAUUUCCAAC
Molecule: non-coding RNA, 18 nt
Filed under: Rattus norvegicus (Norway rat)
Lineage: Eukaryota; Metazoa; Chordata; Mammalia; Rodentia; Muridae
Source: RNAcentral